CUCAUUCUUUCGAUAGCUAUUUUUGGUGCCGUUAGGGCUAGUCAGGUUAUGGAAUGAAAUAAAAUUGAAACAAAAAACCCAAUCAAAACUAGAGGUGCUUUGGAAAGAUUAUAGUGAUACAAAUGGAAAUCUACAAUUACCUGAAGAACUUUAUUUCAAACACAUAGUAGAAAAUGUCUUUAUUAUAGACGAGUCUUUGCAAGAACAAAUUCUCGGACUAAACAAAAUCUAUUUAGAUCUCAUUAGUCAUGGCACAGACAGUCGUUACUUUAUUGACAUUCUGAAUACGUAUGGCCCUUUUGUAGGUAUGUAGUUAGGACUUGGUUGGGUUUUCUGUUUUCUUUUUGUUGUUCAGGUCGAUCACUGGUUCAUUUUUUGACUAAAAAAGAAGGAAGAAUAGAUAGCAUGGCCCAAAUUCUCUACUAUUAUUAUAAGAGGGCCCUCUAAAGCUAUUGGAUAAACCUAUCUAUGGGUUGCUCCUCUGUCUAGAAAACAUUAGGGAAUCCUCUACACCCUGAAAAUGGGGAUUUAAAACAUGGUUGGGCCUGAUCAAUAACCACUCUUAUGUAAUUGAAACUCCCUCAUCUUUACUGUUUUUUCUAUCUCGCAUAUAGUUUUUGAAUUCAAUUCUGUUGUCUGUUUUCUCGGAUCAUCAUAUGUACUAGUAGAAAAGAAAAAUAAAAGCAAAGUUUUUCAAUCUUCCAACUCUGCUAAACUUUUCUGAAUAACAGAAUUUUGCAAUACAGUUCUCUUAUACGGAACUACUAGAUUGGCGAGACAAGAGAGAAAGCUUAUAAAGUAGUAAGGUGUCUGUGGGGCUUGCCUUACAGGUAGUGACUAGACCACUUACAUAUCGAACAGAUCUUACUCUCAAUGGAUGAACAGAUCUUACUCUCAAUGGAUUAAUUGCGAGAUGACCUAGGAACAACCAGAAUACCGAACUUGGAUAAUCAUUAGACUGUUACGAGAAUGAUUGGCGUCAUCAUUUGGUUCACUGCGGAGAACCCUUUCUACGCUACGUUCCCAAUAGAAAGCCGUCAUCCUUCUCUGUUAUCCCUACACCAGACAAACAAUGUUAGUUAAAUAUGGCGUCCUCUUUCCUACACUUCUUCUGAUUCAAAUUAGCUUAGAUGAAACGGAACAGGGCCCGUGGAUACCUUGACCAGAAAAGGAUGCCUUUUCCCAACCAAUCCAAAAAAGUAAGAGAGGUCGUACCGUGUAACUUUUGCUAAAAGCUGUCUUCUCCACAAGGAUUGGCUAUGAUGGGACUUUCUGAGAUGCCCAGAUCAUAUCCGCUGCUUGUUGUUCAGCCUCGAGCACUAAAGUCUAUUUAGUCUCUUGUGUCAGUAAAGGCAGGCAAUACAGCGGUAAGCUAUGUUAACCGGAUAAGGAAAAUGCAAGUCCAUUCUUUCUUAACUGUGUGCUUCAAGUGCUUACUUUCAUUUCCAAUCAAGGAUUUAAAAGACUUUUCAGAGCUAAGGCAAGGGGAGGACAAGCCUAAGACCCUGCCAAGAACUUGCAAUACGGGCUAAGCCGUCCCAAGUAAAGGUAAUAUGGUAGGCUUGAAAAUUUCUUUUUCUUUUUUGAUUCAUGUAGAAAGCCGGCGUUCCUCAUACUCCUUCCUUCAUUCAUUGAGUUGGAGGCCCGCCCGUUAUGCAUUGCAUGAAAGAACAGUCACUCACAUCGGUGAGGGCUGCGUUAUGCCACCUGCCCUUAUCCUGGUAGUACUGCUUUAGCAAAGCGAACGGUAGGUCAAAGAGGUCUGGGACCAUCCUUCCUUUCAUAGGCUGGAGCUGCCUUUACAUAGCGGUGCCCUUUAGUUGCAUGUUCAAUGACGGCAAGACCCUACUUGCUGGUUUUUCCAUCAUCCAAUCCAUAACAAAUCGGGUGAAAGCCUGAUACUUCUCACCUACUCAAACGAUAUUGAAAACUACCAUUCCUUUGAAUCGAAAAAGGUUUCGAAGGGCGCCGAAGGUCAGUUCAAUGGUAAGAUCUGAACGGGAGAUUCACGGGUCAGAGGGUGGGGAAAGAAAAGCUGGUGCGGUCAAACGCCCUCACGCAAUGCCGCACACAAGGAAGGGUGAAAAGUGGAAGAAGAAUUCCUCCCCUUUCAAGAAGGGUGUGGAUAUGGUCUAUCGCCAAAAGAAGAAGUCAAAUCAGAAGCAACUGGGCAAGCAAAUGCCGUUAAGUUAAAGGGCCAUAGCGUAGCUCGAGCCAGAGCUUUUGAGUUUUCCAACUAAGUUC
Molecule: long non-coding RNA, 2244 nt
Filed under: Linum usitatissimum (flax)
Lineage: Eukaryota; Viridiplantae; Streptophyta; Magnoliopsida; Malpighiales; Linaceae
Description: long non-coding RNA (LUSI_LNC005909)
Source: RNAcentral